This 481-nucleotide ribosomal RNA is filed under the name uncultured bacterium. RNAcentral's name for it is "bacterial SSU rRNA". It matches the Rfam family "Bacterial small subunit ribosomal RNA", at positions 30 to 506 of the family's 1533-position model. The record is from RNAcentral.
CGAACGCUGGCGGCGUGCCUAACACAUGCAAGUCGCACGAGAAAGUCCUUCGGGAUGAGUAGAGUGGCGCACGGGUGAGUAAUACAUGGGAACGUGCCUCUAAGAGGGGGAUAACUACGGGAAACUGUAGCUAAUACCGCGUAACAUCGAAAGAUUAUAGGUGGCCUCUGCUUGCAAGCUACUACUUAGAGAUCGGCCCAUGUCCCAUUAGCUAGUUGGCGGGGUAAGAGCCCACCAAGGCGACGAUGGGUAGCUGGUCUGAGAGGAUGAUCAGCCACACUGGAACUGAGACACGGUCCAGACUCCUACGGGAGGCAGCAGUGGGGAAUUUUGCACAAUGGGGGAAACCCUGAUGCAGCAACGCCGCGUGAGUGAAGAAGGCCUUUGGGUUGUAAAGCUCUUUCGGUUGGGGAGAAGGGUGACAUGGCUAAUAUCCAUGUUAUUUGACGGUACCAAAAGAAGAAGCACCUGCUAACUUCGU